RNAcentral lists this transfer RNA (71 nucleotides) under Sminthopsis crassicaudata (fat-tailed dunnart). Its description in RNAcentral is "tRNA-Asn". It matches the Rfam family "tRNA". From Rfam's summary of the family: Transfer RNA (tRNA) molecules are approximately 80 nucleotides in length. Lineage: Eukaryota; Metazoa; Chordata; Mammalia; Dasyuromorphia; Dasyuridae. The record is from RNAcentral.
UAAACUGAAGCCAAAUGUCAGGUGCUUAGCUGUUAACUAAGAGUUAGUGGGAUAAAUACCCUCCAGUUUAG